Non-coding RNA from Paramuricea clavata, 281 nucleotides. The record is from the annotation of a GenBank genome assembly. Lineage: Eukaryota; Metazoa; Cnidaria; Anthozoa; Malacalcyonacea; Plexauridae.
CACACUUAGAUAGAAAAGUCCACACUGUCCACACUGUCCACACGUAGAUACAGUACUGCCAAGAAAUAACUUAUCAAAAACCGCGUCCAAGACGCGGGUAUCUUGCGUCCACUGUGCGUCCACGGGCGCCCGCGGGUGCGUCUGUCCUGCGGGCGCCGUGCGUCCAUCGUGCGUCCACUCUGCGUCUGCGGGCGCUUGCGGGUGCGUCCACUGUGCGGGCGCCAUGCGUCCGCUUUGCGUCUGCGGGCGAGGACGCAGCUGAGAAAGAGUUCUAUUCGUAG